UGGAACCUGAUGAACAACUUUAAAACUUUGGGUUUGAUUCCCAGUGAAUGCAUGAACUGAACAAACCUUAAAUGCAAUGCAAGUUGCUUUGAAUUAAAUGUCAAAUAUUAAUGCAUAGAGGUCAUUUAGAUACAGAACUCUUAAAUGGUACAUUGUUAGUCUCUUUCACAAGAGUCAACACAUCGUGAUCUCUCAGCACAUAUUGGAAGAGAUUGUAAAAUGCCUUAAGGCUCAGAGAGAAUGGAAAUGGUAACUAAAAACUGAAACUGGCCUUUUACAGUGGACUGAUAUUACAAAGGGACGUCAUUAAUAACACUACAGAACUGUUAAAGUGAUCAGUUUGGCCCCUUUAAUGCAGUUUUUAAAUCUCAGAUUGGUGUUCAUGUUUUUUAUUUUUAAUUCUAAAAUCACAUAUAUUCUACAGCACGGAUGAAGAUCUGUGGUUUGAUUGGUGCUGUGGCCUGGUGGUGAUCAGAUGAGCCUCAUUUGCAUUGCUAAACAGCAUACAGGUGAAUGUCAGUAACGAUCCUUGAUUACCGCAGCCAUGCUGACCUUUCACCACCAACAAAAUAUGUGCUGCACGAUCAGAGUGCAUCGUGUGAGACUGACUGUGCUGAUGUCCCUGAAGGUCAAACACUUAACCUCGCCGUCGCUGAAGUGUGGAACUGUGCAAAUGAAAUCGAAGAGUUUGAGGAGUUAGAACAUUCACAAGCUCAGAUGAGAGCACUCAUCACUGAGUAGUGUUCAAGAUCUCUGGUCUCAGACAAGGAGAUGAACCUUCAAUGUCCUUCACCGAUCAUCAUUUCAAGUGUGGUCUGACGUGACCGAAAGAUCAUAUCUGAGCGGGUUUCUAUGUCACUGAGCAAGUAUGAAAUCCAUGUGUCAGCUGAAAUGCAAAAGGAAUCGAAAGUAUACAUCAAAACAGCAGGAAAACGACAAAUCAAGGCCAGUAUUCCAGCGUGUUGGAGGAUGCUGAGGGUGCGUGACCGCUGCCAAACAGAUUUCAUCAUCCCGUACCCUGCUGGUAAACUCUCUCGCUGUCUCCAUGCAAGAGAAACUCUGAAUUCCUUCAGCUAAUCUCACGUCUGGAUGCAGCUGUGUUUCUGCGCCGCCGGAGAACAAACUCUCGAGUCCCUGCAGGACCAGACACUUGCUAUUCUUACGUUUCUAAGUGGAGGGAAAUGUCAUUUUAAAUUAAAUAAAGGUUCGUAAACUGUUUUUCUUUUUUUUUUCUUUUUUUUUUUCACUGCAGUGUCAAAGAGCUUUUCAGUGAACAGUUUCUUAAGGAACCUUUUUUUUUUUUUUUUUUAAAUCUUUAAAGAUCUUUUUAAUAAUUUAAAAUAACCUUUUCUUUUUUUUCUUAGUGUAAAGCAUGCUUUAA
This is a long non-coding RNA of Cyprinus carpio carpio, 1381 nucleotides long. NCBI's taxonomy places the organism in Eukaryota, Metazoa, Chordata, Actinopteri, Cypriniformes, Cyprinidae. The record is from Ensembl.